GUCACCUGUGGGAAGUCCCGCCAACUUCUGGACCAUGGAGGGGAAUGUACUCACCAAGAGGCAGGGCCUGUUUGAGAAACACGAGAAGCCCAAGUACGUGCUGUGCGUCGCCUUCGCCGAGAACGGAGACGCCAUCACCGGAGAUUCCAGCGGGAAUAUCUACAUCUGGGGGAAAGGUGGGAGCCGGAUCAGCCAGGUGGUGGGGGGGCCACGAG
Long non-coding RNA from Anguilla anguilla (European eel), 215 nucleotides. RefSeq lists it as uncharacterized. The transcript is spliced from 3 exons. NCBI's taxonomy places the organism in Eukaryota, Metazoa, Chordata, Actinopteri, Anguilliformes, Anguillidae. The record is from RefSeq and is a predicted model, not a curated record.